UCGGGAAUUUUGGGCAAUGGGCGAAAGCCUGACCCAGCAACGCCGCGUGAAGGAUGAAGUAUUUCGGUAUGUAAACUUCGAAAGAAUAGGAAGAAUAGAUGACGGUACUAUUUAUAAUGUCCGGCUAACUACGUGCCAGCAGCCGCGGUAAUACGUAGGGACCAAGCGUUGUUCGGAUUUACUGGGCGUAAAGGGCGCGUAGGCGGCAAUUCAAGUCAUCUGUGAAAUCUCCGGGCUUAACUCGGAACGGCCAGAUGAUACUGCUUUGCUAGAGUGCAGAAGGGGCAAUCGGAAUUCUUGGUGUAGCGGUGAAAUGCGUAGAUAUCAAGAGGAACACCUGAGGUGAAGACGGGUUGCUGGGCUGACACUGACGCUGAGGCGCGAAAGCCAGGGGAGCAAACGGGAUUAGAUACCCAAGUAGUCCCUGAGCGGGCUGGCAAGGCGCAU
RNAcentral lists this ribosomal RNA (447 nucleotides) under uncultured bacterium. RNAcentral describes it as "bacterial SSU rRNA". It matches the Rfam family "Bacterial small subunit ribosomal RNA", at positions 355 to 825 of the family's 1533-position model. The record is from RNAcentral.